CCCUCCAUCUUGAAAGAAAGGGGCCGGACCUAUGACGCUUCCUCGGUCUGUUGCAAAAACGUUUAGACUAGAACGGGUGCAACGGAGUUCAGUACAUAUUUGAUUGAUCGCUCCAUCAGUCCUAGACUGGUCCUUGAAAAGCGGGACAUCCUUGUAAAAGAGCGAGCGAAGUGUGCGGUACACACUUAAAAAAAAUCCCCAACCAAACUCUCCGCCUCCUUCUGAAAAAAAAUCUCCUCGCCUCCAAUUGACAAUGGCGGACUCUAUCAGUGCAAAGAGGGCAAAGAGAUCGAUCCACGAUGAUGUCUCCAACGACGACGACGCCGCCGCCGCAAGAGAAGCCUUCAAGAAUAUGGUACGGGUGAUGUCUUGUCCCCCAACCCAUUUCGAAAAGAUGGGUAAUAAUACCUCACACCUCACGUCUCAAUUUGUAUUUGAUUUUUUAGGGUUAUUUGCCAUGCGAUUAUGCAUUCUCUUAACUGUAGAACGACUCUACCCAGAGAAAAAGCGUAAAUUUAAGGAUUUUGUCGAACGCAGGGAAAAAUUGAAAGAGAUACAUGCUGACAUUGUCAAGGAGGAACACCUGUUUGUUGAGGAGAGAAAGAAAUGGGUGGCGGAUAACCGGAAUCUCUAUAGUGACAUGAAUCAGUUUUUUGUCGAAAGAUGUCAAUGGGAAACUGAGUUUAAGGAAAACCACUUAAAGCCUCUCUAUGAGAUGUAAUGUUGCUAAAGGAAUCCCUAUCUUUUACUGCAAUGAUUGCUAACAAGAUGGUUUCUAAGCAGAUUGCAGAGAAAGAUAAGGAGGCUCUGAACUUUCUGAAUGAUAUCGAGUCCCGUAGGACAGCAGAUUUGAAAGGAUUUGAGCUGGAGUUCACCUUUGACGAUCGUAAUCCUUAUUUUAAGAAUAAGGUGUUGACUAAAAAGUAUGAGGUGAAGGAUGACAACCAGUCUGUUUCAUUGAAGGCAUUAGGGACUAAAAUUGACUGGUAUCCUUCUCAAAACUUAACACAGGGUAAAAGCAGUGAAAGUUUCUUCAAGUUCUUUAAUUCAUAUGCUUCUCUCGAUCCUCUUUCUUUUGACAACGAAGCUGUAAGUUUGGAUUAGUUUAUGGUACCUCCUAGUUAAUGAUGAUUUUAGGCCUUUUUUUCUUAUCUUCUUAAUGGAUGCAACUUGUUAGGAUGAACUCAAAGGCGACAUUCCGACAGAUUAUGUAAUUGGGUAGGUGAAUAUUUUCUUUUGCAUUAGAUGUCUAAUCCUCACGGUAAAUCAAUAAAAUGACUUGAAUGAUUACUUUUUCGUUAGAUGCUUAAGCCCUGAAAAUUGUUUAAGGAUGAGAAUCUUUAUGAUGUAUAUAUUGCUGUUGUGAUUUGUAGUAUGAAGUUUCGAGACAAGAUCAUUCCGCAUGCUAUAUCAUGGUAUAAAUUUGCAGAGAAGGAUGAUAGUGAUUAUGAUGAUAGUGAUGGCAAAUGUGAGCGUUGCUCAAGGUGGUAGAUACGGAAGAGUCGUAGAGGCUUCUUGAGAGAGUCCUUCUCCUUCAUUUUUUGGCAUGCUGACAUAGGCAUAUGGCUACCUCUGCUUUUACUCUUAUUAUAUUUUGUUGGGUAAUACCAAGUGAUGUCUUAGGGUUAAGUAUUGAAGUCACUUGGUUCUUCUACUUUUGUAAAUCGAGUUUCACGAAUCAUUCAUGGAAUUACUUUAGUUGAUCUUGUGAUCAGGCCAUACUCUAGGGCUUGGGUUCAUGUUUAUCUUUUCAUUACCAAUUAUUUCAAUCAUGGCUUAAAGCUUAUGUUUUCAUGUUUAGCCCAA
Rosa chinensis is the source of this 1806-nucleotide RNA transcript. It is a transcript of the gene named nucleosome assembly protein 1;1, with no coding region annotated. Lineage: Eukaryota; Viridiplantae; Streptophyta; Magnoliopsida; Rosales; Rosaceae. The record is from RefSeq and is a predicted model, not a curated record. The transcript is spliced from 8 exons.